Molecule: long non-coding RNA, 815 nt
Organism: Neofelis nebulosa (Clouded leopard)
Lineage: Eukaryota; Metazoa; Chordata; Mammalia; Carnivora; Felidae
Exons: 6
Source: RefSeq, a predicted model, not a curated record
AAUAGUGCUUCUCAUAUUUCCAGAUUUUUAUACACCAGGAAAAAGCAUUGGAGUUUCUAACUUUUUACUUUGCCGAGAAGUUUACUGACAAAAAAGAAAAAAAAAGAAAAGAAAAGAAAAACAGAGUGGCUGAACAAUGUCCCCUGCUUAAGUCCCCCAGAAGCAUAUUUUCUUUAGAGCAACAGAGGCUUUUGCAAUAUGGAAAAAGUGACAUUUGAUCUGAAGGAGUGUGGAGGGGAGCUCUGAGUGUGGGGGACUGACCUUUACUAACCACCUACCCAGAGCGGAGGCUGGAGAAGCGCGAGCUGAGCCUGCAGCAGUGAUGUCUGGUGCCCUCCACAGGCCAAAUUUUAUUGCCUUGACCUUUCUUCAAAUGAGAUGAUCUUCUGGGCCUCCUUACCCUGGACCCCUACUCCAGGCAGCACUGGAUUUGAAACCUGUUACCCGGGAAGAAGCUCCAUGGAGUCAGAGCUGCAGAAAUCUGGCCACAGAAUCCUACCCUAAGAGCACCGAGCCCAAAGUCUUGAGCCAAGAAGUAAAGCCAUCACCAGCAGAUUUGAGACACCUAAAAUGGGGGAAUCCUGGUGUAGACAAUAGGACUUCUCAGCCCAUUACUCCUGCACCAAAAGCAUGCCAUGAUGAGGAUCACCCACCUGGCCUUCACGUACAUGAAGAACCACACAAUUCCACUACAAAAUGGCCUCUGUUUAAAUCAUAAAUGUUGAAGUCUGCAAAUAAAUGCAAAUCUAUUUCUGGUGUGCUUGUUCUAACACUGAUAGAAAGACGUGUUCCCACAGAUGGAGCUUGGGAACAAG